ACUUCGUUAGGUUUGAGUGGAAAUCCCUUUUUGUGGCUGGAAAAGCUUAGGCAAAAAAGAUUGGGAGCGGAAGGCGGAUAAAGC
This 84-nucleotide unclassified non-coding RNA is filed under the name Epilithonimonas zeae. Its description in RNAcentral is "Chryseobacterium zeae Flavo-1 RNA". Lineage: Bacteria; Pseudomonadati; Bacteroidota; Flavobacteriia; Flavobacteriales; Weeksellaceae. The record is from RNAcentral.